GGAUGGAUGGCCGAGUGGCUGAAGGCGCUCCCCUGCUAAGGGAGUAUGGGACUAAAAUCUCAUCGAGGGUUCGAAUCCCUCUUCAUCCGCCA
RNAcentral lists this transfer RNA (92 nucleotides) under Candidatus Hepatincola sp. Av. RNAcentral describes it as "tRNA-Ser". It matches the Rfam family "tRNA". From Rfam's summary of the family: Transfer RNA (tRNA) molecules are approximately 80 nucleotides in length. RNAcentral also lists the same sequence under 2 other names. Lineage: Bacteria; Pseudomonadati; Pseudomonadota; Alphaproteobacteria; Rhodospirillales; Candidatus Hepatincolaceae. The record is from RNAcentral.